UGCGUGUGGCGGGGGGUUGGAGACUCGUGGUCCUUGAGGUCCCUUCCAACCCAGGCCAUUCUGUGAUUCUGUGAUAGUCUUCUCUUUAGAGCCUGCACUGCAACAUCUUCUACCCCAGGGACAAACCUUUGCUUUUGCCCCUGCUGAGUUGCAUGAGGUUGCAUCUGGCCUCUGUUCCUCUAACCUGCUGAGGUCAGGCUGAGUGGUGGUCUGUUCUCCCAAAAUGCAGCAGCUGCUCUCACAGUAAGACAUCUGGAAGGGUAGGUUGGAACCCAGCCUUCCAGUGGGCACUUGGGUGUGUGGCAGGGGCUGGGCAGGGUGUCUUGAGAGCCGCCCAGCCUCUCCUCCACACCUGCUGAGCACUCCUGGAGAGCUGUGGGAACUGCUGGUUCCCUGGAAGGCAGCUCACAGGAUGUGGUCAGAGCUGCAGCCACUCUUACUUCUCCUUUGGGGAGGUGAAAGGACAGCCCAAGUGUGGUCAGAGAUUUUCUGCAGUUACAUUAGUACUAGACCACCUGCAAUCCUUGAAGCGAGCGUUUCACAUCCCUUUCAGGUGAAGUUGAGGUUGUAGAGAUGAGGCCCAAAACUUGCCAUAGUAAGGUUCCAGAUCAGGUGAGCACUGGGCACCUCCAUCAUGCACAGCGUUUCUGUGUGCCUGGGAAAUCUGGCCACGCCAGUGCUGGUGCAUGCUGCUGCUCCCAAAGACCCAGGCUUGCCUUCACGUGGGAAAUGUGGUGAAAAAAGCACCUGCAGAAGUUAUGCAUGCAAUUGUUCACCAAUGUGGGGCACUGGGAUGCACAGAGCCAGCAGAGCCUCCGGAACCUCUGUUCAGUUUUUGUGGAGAUGCCCGCUGUGCUCCUUGACUUCAUAAUCCCUGAAGUCCUGAUCGAUUUGUGGCAUACUGAUGGCCAGGCAUUUAUUACGGCCACGUAAAAGCUGGGCAUAGCAUGAUAUAGGUGGGCAAUCACAUCUCAUUGUAAAGUGUUUGGAGGAGAAGUCCACCUCACAGCUGUUUCCAAAGCUGAACCUUGCAGCCAGUCAGGGUGACUUUACCAUGUAACUCAUGAUAAAGCUAUUCCAAGGUUAGAAGCAAAAUAAGAAAUCAGGCUGAUGGAGCUUUUACUCCCAGAGUUUGAUCUGACAGUUGCAUUUCGUUUUUAAGGGCUGUGUGCAGGGCAGAAUCAUGAGAUUAAUUCCUGCAUACCCAGAGGCUAAUAUCAAUACUCUCUAGUGACGUUAAAUUGGGUUGAUUAUUUGCAGGCUGUGCCAUGUGUCCAGGUCACGAUCCUGGGCUGGGCUCCCGAUGCCUUUACAAACGAAGCAAGGUGUGAUAACGAGGAGUGGCCGAGGAGGGGCAGGUGGCAGGAGGCAGAGCUGUGCCUGGCAGAGCUGUGCCUGCCUAGCUGGCGGCCUUCCUUCUCUUACACUAUGCGGCUGGGACUCUCCCCUUGCUGUUCCCUUAGCACGGGACUGUGCCCAGUGCUGGGAAGUUCAGAUCUUCCUGAUAAAGGGAGAAAAGCCAGGAGGAUAUUCAGAAAAAGUAAAGCUGCCUCUAAGCGGUCUCCUUGCUUUGCAGAAGACUCCUAAGCCAAGCCCGAUUGCCAAGGUCAGCUUCCACCCACGUUGUGUAAAAAAGAUAGGUAUUUGCCACAACGUGAGAAGCUGUAGACAUUGCUUAGUGAUCUGAUUUCACAGCUGUGGGGCACUGACCAUGUUUUACACUUCACUAACAUACUAAAGGAUCUCAGAACAGCCACUGCUGUGUGAGACCAGCUCACUUCACCCGUACAGGCUGAGCCCAUAGCGAUGUGCUGGGUCUCAUAGAACCCAGCAGAGCCUUCUGAAGGUCUCCAGCCCUGACUUUCAGCAGGUCUCUCCCCAGCAGUAAGCAGGUCAGACUGGCUGUGGCGAUGUACAGCUGUGUCUGGAAACACCCCCCAGGAUGGAGACCUCCUCUCUCCCUGCUGCACGCUCCUGGGGAAGGCUGCCCUGAUGCCCACGAUAAGCCUUCCAGGGCUGCACUUUGAGGCUGCUGCUCCCUGUUACAUCAGGAGAUGAUGGUUUUGCUUUUGCAUUUUUAUCAUUUAUAUGCCAAUGGAUGUAUAGCCCAAUGUUCCUAUUUUGCUGCUGAUGUCAAAUAAAGUAUUUUCAGUUAUUAUGUUUGGCAGUAUUACUCUAUGAAAGCGGCUUCUCCCGGUGCUCUCGCUGUCUGGGUGGGCUCAGGAGUGAUGCAGGGCUGGGGAAGCUGCUGUGAGGCCUCACCUUGCUGCCUCGUGCAUCAACGGCAAAGGCAAGAAGUGGGGGGGAAACAAGUGCAGCAAAGUGCUGUGUUUUACCCGUUUCAAGCAUAAAACAUAGACUUUCCCCUUGCAUGCACACAACCCAGAUGCUGGAAAUGCACACUGUGCACUCUUCUUCAGGGCCGGGCUGUUUUACAGAGUUUGGUCUGAGCACAGAUCUGAGGGGAUAAGCUGGAUGAAAUGGGAGGCAAGAGCUUUGUCCUCACCUGGACAAAGUCCCAAGGGCUAUGGCAUGGCUCCCAGUACCUAAAGGAAGCUCAUAAACAGGAGGAGAGUAUUUCUAUAGUCUGAUAGUGGUAGGACAAAGGGGAAUGGUUUUAAACUGAACGAGGGGAAACUCAGGUUAGAUGUUAAGAAGAAAUUCUUCUCUCAGAGGAUGGUGAGGCACCAGCAUAGACUGCCCAUAGAAAUGUGGGUGCCCCAUCCCUGGAGGUGCUCAAGGCCGGGUUGGCUGGGCCCUGAGCAGCCUGGUCUGGGGGGACAACCAGCCCAUGGUAGGGGGUUGGAACUGGGUGGGCUUUAAGGUCCCUUCCCACCCUAGACGUUCUAUAACUUCAGAUCAAGUGCAGACCCUCCAUGUCUCCUCAUGGGGUUCUUCCUGCCCUGGCAGAUAUUUUCCUGCUCCUCUUCCAUUUCCCCAUGUCCCUCUUGAAUUGCAGAGCCACAGACCAGAUUUCAGGUGCUUUUGUGCUCUGGCCUCUGAUGUGCUGUCACCUUUAGCAUCUCUGGGUGAUGAUCACCAAUGGUCAUGCAAGGUCCUGGGGCUCACUGAAAGCAUCCUCUUGCCAGAUGUGCUAGAGCAGGUGACAGAUUUAUCAUAACAGUGGCAAUGUGGCAUGCCUGCACUACCUCCUCCCCCAGAGGAUGCCCCCAAAGCACUGCACAGGAGCACUGGCUGUAGAUGAAAUCUCAGAGGUUGGCCAAAGCCUGAGAACUGUCACAAGAACAGAUCUGCUCCUGGGCCCUGCUGUCAGAGCCUGGGCCUUGCUGUCAGGGCCCUCGCUGUGCCAACAGGCUCCACGGUCUCUCCCAGCUCCAUGGACUCAGUUGCCCACGCUUGAGGCCAGUCCCCAUACGGUGCAGCUGCAAUAUGGGGUCAGGCUGGUGGGAGGGUGGCCAAGGUGUGAGAAAGUGUUGCGUCUCCUUCUCUUUGGCUUAAAGAUCUCUGGAUAUACAGAUGGCAGAGGUGAGAUGUUCUCCUCGGUACCUGGGACAUGAGAGUCCUGUCUCUCUGCCUGAGAGGAGGGCUGUUGCUCUAGUGCUCUGCCCUGGCCAGGAGAGAGAAGCUGUUAUGGCAGCCGUGUUCUUUAGCUGUCUUCCUUCAGCUACCAGCCUGCAAGGCCUCGCUCUCCAGCAGACUGAGAACAGGUGCUGAUGGCAUCCCAAGAAUUGUCUGGGCUGCUGCCAGAUCUCAAACACUGUGGGGCACCUGGGCUCGGUGGCUGAGUCUGGGGUCACAGCUUCACCUCCAUCAUCCAUAGGCCAGCACAGGGCCUGGAGAUGGUCCCCAAGAACCACUGCUGGCUUCCAAGGAACACUUCUCUGUCUCCAAUGCGAUGCGUGUGCCAAGGAGAGCCUAGGAAGCAUGCAGUGAGGAUAUUCAUCAGUUACAGGCUGACUUCAUGGUGCACAACUGCAAAUGCAUAAUGACUACAAACCAUUUCUCAAAGACUUAGCCUUCUUGCUUUUCAGUUCCUUGCCCGAGCUGCUGGCAGCAUUGGUCUCAGGGCAAAUACUGCUGUUGCAAGUGUGACUUGUCAUGGAAGUGAUUAUUUAUAAGCAUCACAAGGGGCCUGGACAUGAAAAUUCUGGCUCCCAUCCACUUCUCUACACUAGAACUGAGUAUUUCUGUCUCUAUUGCUUUUAAUAAAAUCCUUCCUUUGCCAGGGACCAUGAGGUGCACAGUGCAGACACCCCGUCUCCUCGCUCCCUCGGGGACUGCUGCUCCCAGCACAUGUGCAUGGCCAGAACUGGGGUGGCACAGGCAGCACAACCUCCUCUCUUCUUAGCUGAGAUGGGAGCUGCUUGGCAUCACCUCCUCUCUGGUCAGGCACUGGUGGGGCUGGCGCAGAGCAGAGCAGCUGCAGUGCUGGUGCAGCCCUCCUGGUGCAGUGGCCAUCUAUGGAGUAGAACAUCAGCAGGAGUUACUUCUUUCCCUUGAAGGUGGAUUGCUACAGCUCUGCCCGUUUUGUGUCCUUGCUCCAGCAGUGCUGAAACUCCGACAGCAGGAGUUAGAAAUUGGAUUUGUUACAGCAUUGCAGUGCUGUUAUGUCUGGUGUUUUUUCUGUUUCCGGGAUGUUGUCUGAAACAGGAUAAUCACUUACUCAUGUGCAACCAGCAGCCACAUGGAAGCUGCUCACAGGAGAAGGCGCAGCCUAUUCUAACAAAGAAAUUCCGUUCUGUUUUAUUUUUCCAACCAACAUUCCCAAAACAAAUUAAUUGAGUGUCUCCUUUUGUUCUGGCUUUUGUGUUUGUCUCACAGCAGCUGGAGGCAAUUGGGCACAGAAGAUGUGGGAUGCUGGUCUUAGGAUAAGGACCUUGUCCUGAAUUUUUCCUGUAGGAACCCCUGAGGAGACGUGGAGGGUCUGCACCUGGUUCCUCUGGGGACGAACAGCAGGGGAUUUAGCAUCAGCUGGAUGGGCCUCUGCCAGUGGCGAAGCAUUUCCUGGUUGUGCCAGCUGAUGUAAAGUGCAGCCCUGGAAGGCUUAUCAUGGGCAUCAGGGCAGCCUUCCCCAGGAGCGUGCAGCAGGGAGAGAGGAAGUCUCCAUCCAGAAAUGCCAGAAAGGGGAAGAUUUUUCUUCUUUGGUCUCAUUUGUGUAGUGCAUUCACAUGACCACAGAUGGAAUACUUUGGAGAAGAUGUAAGAAGAGGAUUUCAGUUUAAUCAGGUCCAGGCACAAAUUUUGGACGUGCAGCUUAACCAGCAGAGCACCAGCAGCGUCUGAGUCCUCUGCUCACAGAGCCAAGAGCUAUCCGGGCGUUUGGUCACUUGACAAACAGGUCAGAAGCAAACAAGAUCACAUCAGUCUGCUGUUAACCACCCACUCCACAGAUGCUGAGGCUGUAAAGCUGGGUGACCCUGUGAGCUGGGCUGAUGUAGCCAGCAUGAGCCACUUCUCUUUCUUGGCCAUGUCCUCCUAGAAUGAAACGUUCUGUCAUCUGAGAUCAGCUGUUUCCUGCCAUUUGUCUCCCUGGGGAAGACCACCGGCCUGAAGCAAGGUCCUCUGAGGUCAUCUGUCGGUUUGCAGAGAAGCGAGACUGAUGUGGAGGUGGCCCAAGAGCUGUCCCAGCUUCGGUUCCUCUGCCAUAGGAUGUUCCUGUGCUGCAAUUCAUGAGUGCGGGGAGCAUGCAACAUCUGCCCCUGUCUCACGCCGGCAUCCUUCCAGAUUUCAGGCCUGAAACUGCUCAGAAGAGGAAUUUCCAAAACAAAUGUUGCUAUUUGAAGAAUGCGGGGGCUAGGGGGUGGGGAAGAAAUAAUCACAACAGAGAUAAGGACCUGAUAGCUGAACAGGCUCUGGCUCAGGCUGGUCUGGGACAAGGAUCGCCUGGAGCCAGAGCUGAGGGUCCGGCUGGGGAAGCGGCAGCACAGAGGGGCUGCUCUGCUGUCUCCCUUUGCCCCGGGCUGCUGAGGGUCCUCUCCCCAGGACCAGUUCUGCUCGGCAUCCCUCCAACCACACGGCACUGCUGUGAUGUCGGUGUCCCGUGGAAAACACCCUGACCGGGGGUCUGCUCCCCUCCUCCCAGCCUGAGAGAAGGGGUGGAGCGGCUCAGGGCAGGGAGUUCAGGAAGAACUGGUUUGCAAAAACCAGAUGCCUGCACCCGGUUUGGCUGCUCCUUUCCUUGGUUUAUGGCAGCUGGGUGUGUGCAGAAGCAAGAUCCCUCUGUCUGCAGUGUGUUCCCCUUUUGAUGGCAUCUGGGCUUGCCUUAUCCCCAUCAGCUGCAGCACAAAGGGCUCUUGGUGCUGCCCACAGAUGCACUUCAGUCUCAGCUCCCUAGGGCUGAGCUCACAUCUGGCGUUAUUGGCCCCCGGCUGCACUUCUGUCAUUUAUUUAUUAAAGUUAAUUUCAUCAGGCUGCAGUGAUUUAUUCAGGUCUGGAGCCUCCCGUAACAGGGAGCCAUUAUUUGGUGUGCCACCAGCUCUCUGCCAUCUGCGACCUCCACGCAGGUUCCACAACAGCUGCUUUCCAAAAGGUCAGCAAACCACUUUAUCAGCGCAGUUCCUUGUUUCUCGGUCUUACCAAGCCAUCAAGCGAUGUUAAAUCAAAAAUAUGCAGAGGGAAGCUGAUUAUGUAACAGGAACACCGUUCCCUUUAUUUGAUUAAGGCAGUAAUCCCAUCUUGUUUUUCUCUAAAAGGAGGGAAAACAAGUCUGACAAUACCGUGCCUCACCUCUGAUUAGAGCAGCAUUUCAGCCUCCUUGCUGACGUGGAUGCUCGGAUGUCUGGUGCUUGGAUUAGUGGACAUCUGCUCCCAGGAUCACGCUUCCUUUACCUUGGUGCAGGAAAUGCACUGCAAGCUUCCCUUCUACGAGGAAUUGCAAGAGAACCCUAGCGGAUUGCAGGGUCCCCCUGCUGCCCUCUGGACUACCCCCCCCAAAAAAGCAGGGGCUUCUUCAUCAGAGGCUGUGACAGGAGCGUGCUCAGUGUUUUGCAGUAUUUCCAUGGAAAGGGACCAUGCUGGAAGCUGGACAGGAUCUGAAGUUAUAGAACGUCUAGGGUGGGAAGGGACCUUAAAGCCCACCCAGUUCCAACCCCCUACCAUGGGCUGGUUGUCCCCCCAGACCAGGCUGCUCAGGGCCCAGCCAACCCGGCCUUGAGCACCUCCAGGGAUGGGGCACCCACAUUUCUAUGGGCAGUCUAUGCUGGUGCCUCACCAUCCUCUGAGAGAAGAAUUUCUUCUUAACAUCUAACCUGAGUUUCCCCUCGUUCAGUUUAAAACCAUUCCCCUUUGUCCUACCACUAUCAGACUAUAGAAAUACUCUCCUGUUUAUGAGCUUCCUUUAGGUACUGGGAGCCAUGCCAUAGCCCUUGGGACUUUGUCCAGGUGAGGACAAAGCUCUUGCCUCCCAUUUCAUCCAGCUUAUCCCCUCAGAUCUGUGCUCAGACCAAACUCUGUAAAACAGCCCGGCCCUGAAGAAGAGUGCACAGUGUGCAUUUCCAGCAUCUGGGUUGUGCGCAUGCAAGGGGAAAGUCUAUGUUUUAUGCUUGAAACGGGUAAAACACAGCACUUUGCUGCACUUGUUUCCCCCCACACCUCUUGCCUUUGCCAUUGAUGCACGAGGCAGCAAGGUGAGGCCUCACAGCAGCUUCCCCAGCCCUGCAUCACUCCUGAGCCCACCCAGACAGCGAGAGCACCGGGAGAAGCCCCUUUCAUAGAGUAAUACUGCCAAACAUCAUAACUGAAAAUACUUUAUUUGACAUCAGCAGUAAAAUAGGAACAUUGGGCUAUACAUCCAUUGGCAUAUAAAUGAUAAAAAUGCAAAAGCAAAACCAUCUGUGGGAGACCUGUGAACAGUCUGGUACAUAAGUAACA
Molecule: non-coding RNA, 7830 nt
Organism: Meleagris gallopavo (turkey)
Lineage: Eukaryota; Metazoa; Chordata; Aves; Galliformes; Phasianidae
Source: RefSeq, a predicted model, not a curated record